This 457-nucleotide ribosomal RNA is filed under the name uncultured beta proteobacterium. Its description in RNAcentral is "bacterial SSU rRNA". It matches the Rfam family "Bacterial small subunit ribosomal RNA", at positions 923 to 1379 of the family's 1533-position model. Lineage: Bacteria; Pseudomonadati; Pseudomonadota; Betaproteobacteria. The record is from RNAcentral.
GCACAAGCGGUGGAGCAUGUGGAUUAAUUCGAUGCAACGCGAAAAACCUUACCUGGCCUUGACAUGUAACGAACUUUCCAGAGAUGGAUUGGUGCUCGAAAGAGAACGUUAACACAGGUGCUGCAUGGCUGUCGUCAGCUCGUGUCGUGAGAUGUUGGGUUAAGUCCCGCAACGAGCGCAACCCUUGCCAUUAAUUGCCAUCAUUUAGUUGGGCACUUUAAUGGGACUGCCGGUGACAAACCGGAGGAAGGUGGGGAUGACGUCAAGUCCUCAUGGCCCUUAUGGCCAGGGCUUCACACGUAAUACAAUGGUUGGUACAAAGGGUUGCCAACCCGCGAGGGGGAGCCAAUCCCAUAAAGCCAGUCGUAGUCCGGAUCGCAGUCUGCAACUCAACUGCGUGAAGUCGGAAUCGCUAGUAAUCGUGGAUCAGAAUGUCACGGUGAAUACGUUCCCGGGC